Molecule: non-coding RNA, 21 nt
Filed under: Caenorhabditis elegans
Lineage: Eukaryota; Metazoa; Nematoda; Chromadorea; Rhabditida; Rhabditidae
Source: RNAcentral
UUUAUUUUUGCAUUCUUCUCC